AUGGAGCGUUCCCUGGACUCAUCCCCAUACCUAUCCCUCUCAGAUCUCUCUCUGUCCCAGUCUCUGGUCCUAGAGCGUUUGUCUCCGUCUCUGGUCCUUUGCAGCCACCUGUCUAUAUCCUUGGCUAUCUCUCGUUUUCUGUCUCUCUCAGAUCUGUAUCUGUCCCGGUCUCUCAUUUUGUCCCGGUCUUUCUCUCGGCCUCCGUCUCUGCUUUUCUCUGGGUCUCUGUCCCCAUCUCUCUCAGAUCUGUAUCUGCCCCCGUCUCUCCUAGAUCUGUCCCGGUCUCUCUCUCGGCCUCCGUCCCAGUCCUUCUCUGGGUCUCUGUCCCCGUCUUUAUCUCUGUUCCUUUCUGAUCUGUUUGUUUCUCUGACUACCGGUAUGUCCUUGUCGCUCUCUCUGGUACUGGAGUGUCUGUGCCCGUCUCCCUUUCGGUUUCUCUCAGAUCUGUCCCUUUCUCUGACUCUGUCCUUGUCUCUGGUACUAGAGCAUCUUUGCCUGGAUCUCUCUCUGGUAGGACUGUCCCCUUCUCUGGCUCUGUCCUCUCUGUGCCCAUCUCUCUCAGAUCUCUCCAUUUCUCUGACUAUAUCCUCCUCCCUCUCUCUGUCCUUCUCUCUGGUACCAGAGUGUCGGUGCCAGUCCCUCUCAGAUCUGUCCCUCUCAGAUCUGUCCCUCUCUAUGUCCCAUACCCUGUUACUAGAGCUGCUGUAUUCAACGGUCAUGUUUGAGUGCUGGUUUAGAAGGGGGCUGGCGCUGUCUGAUGGUAAUGAGGAAGUACUAAGAUGUUUAAAUGAGGGCUCGCUCUCCUUUUUCUCUUUUCCCUUCUCAUUCUCAAACUCCUUCCUUUUCAAGUCUCCCAUCUUCCCAUACAGCCUAUCAUUGGUCCUGUCUGUCAGCCGACCCAACUCCUCAACCCCCAAGUCCAGCCCAACGAUCUCCAGCAGGGUCUGCAUCUGCUCGUACCGCUGCUCAUCCUCAAGCCUCACCUUCUUCUCCUCAACUGGAGAAGACUUGGAUCUACUGCUGGAGUCAACAUGA
RNAcentral lists this long non-coding RNA (1035 nucleotides) under Oncorhynchus mykiss (rainbow trout). RNAcentral describes it as "lncRNA (ENSOMYG00000060855.1)". The record is from RNAcentral. Lineage: Eukaryota; Metazoa; Chordata; Actinopteri; Salmoniformes; Salmonidae.